Gallus gallus (chicken) is the source of this 2082-nucleotide long non-coding RNA. RefSeq lists it as uncharacterized. The record is from RefSeq and is a predicted model, not a curated record. Lineage: Eukaryota; Metazoa; Chordata; Aves; Galliformes; Phasianidae. The transcript is spliced from 2 exons.
UCAAAUGCAUUCCAAAUGAGGCAAUCCUGAUCCUCAUACAGAAAAUAAUAAUAAUAAUAAUAAUAAUAAUAAUAAUAAAGCAUGUCAUUGGGCUCUGCUAACUCAAUGACAGCUGAACAGCAAACAAGGUUCAGAGAGAAGAAUUGCCCUUUCCCUGCCAGCAUGCCGGCUAGACUCUGUGUCUCCUCUUCUUUUCAUGAGUCAUGGUAGAAUCUCAACAGUUCAGGUUUCUUAUUCCCCAUCAACUCACCUUUGCUCAGGAUAUUUUAAUCACUACCGUACAAAAGCAAAACAGCAUUUAUUAACUUCAAUAAUUCUUACGCUCUGUAUCACAAUGUAAUCAUUGUACAACAAGAUUAACCAUUGGAGAAAAGGUCACUGCAGCAUGAUGGUCUGUCACUCGGAGGCUGCUGCAACAGCCGAUUUCACUAGUUGGUGUCUGCCACUGUAUGUAGAGACAGUUCCACACGGAAGACUAAAACAGAAUCAAAUCCACGUCACUUACAGAAAGAAACACUGUGAUCCAGCAGAAUUUUCCAAAUAGUACCAAACAGACUCCUUUAACUUCUCACAGUCCUUCAGCCUCACUGCAAAACCACGUGGGGCACACGAGAUUACUUGAAAGAUACCAAACUUCGCUAUCUGACGCAGAAAGCAGUAUUUCACGUAGGAAUCCUCCUAAGAGGUAGUGAAGAACUAACAUUUGGUGGCCUGGAGAAGGAAGAGGAACAAAUGGUCAAUUCCCUACAGUGAUGGAUAACAUCUGAGAAGGACUCACCAGAAGGAUUUGUGCUGGGAUACGUGCUGUUCUUCCUACCCGUAAAUAAUAAAUGAUAUUACUUCCAGUAGGACAAACAGGCAAAUAAUGAGGUGAUGAAGGCUGUAGACUAUACCAGAUUAUUCAGGAGAGUUGAAUCUAAAGCUGCUUACAAAAGCUGCAGAAAAAGACUCGCUAAAAAGUACAGACUGUGGAGAACAUUAGGAAACAAAGCCAAGUCUUUCAACUAUAUUUGGCUUUAAAUUGGGUAUUACUAGGCAGAAAGCACACCAUGUAUCCACUGCAGAUAAUAUCCUGAAAGCAUCAGAGAAAUUGCUUUCUGACAGUCAAAUAAGUAAGUACAAUAACUCUUAAGAAAAGGGGGAAAAAGUGAAACCUUGUUCUACUAUAAGUCUACAGUAUACAAAUGCCUUAAAUACUGCAGGUGGUUUGGGGGUCCAUAACUUUUGCAAGGGUAAUAAAGUUACAAAAUCUUCCGAGAAGCCACAAGGAUGAGCAGGGAUAGCACAGUGCUCAUACAAAAAGAGGCAGAGAAAAAUGUUGGCUUAGAAAUGUUUUGAGAGAAAAGAAUGGAGGUAUGGUAGUAUUCCUCAACUAAAUGCCACUUACUCAAGGCAUAAGAACCAUGGAGCACCCAUUGAAAUUGUCAAGGAGAUGGUUUAUAAUAAGCAAAAAGGGUUUUUCCCCAUUCACACAGAGAAUAUCAUAAAAUGAUAAAACUUUUGUGUCUCUCUAAAAAAAUUACAUGAUUCAAAGAUUUUGUAGGAAAACAAAGCACAAAGGGGUUUUAAAACAAGCAACAAACAAACCAACCCAGACAGCGGGCUCUAACUGUGGCUAACAGGUCAGUUCUGAUACACAUUUCAAAACCUAAUACAUAUAUAUACACAUAUAUAUUCUACUGCUUGUAAUCUUCCCUUGGUCAAGACAGAACAUUGUUUGAAACAGACCUUCGAUCUCACCAAGCAUCAGCUGUUCUCACAUUACAACCAUACUUGGUAAAGAUUGGGGGGGGAAGCAACUUGCAAGACUGAACCCCAUAAAUGUCCAAAAAUUUCAGUACAGCAUCUGUUAUAUUCUGCCAUGUUUUGUCUUUUCCUCCUUGAAUUUACACAGAGAAUACAUAACCCAUAUUAAAAAUAACUGAAAACUUUCUGUGUUCAUGAGAAGUCACAGAAGAAAAAUUCAUCGCUCUUGGAGAAAGAAAAGCCUGAUCCAGACUUCACUUUAUAACAUGUAGAGAAUAUAUAAUACGUACACAAGAGCCUUAAAAAAGACAAAAAUAAAAUAAAAUAAAUGUGUAA